GAUGAACGCUGGUGGCGUGCCUAAUACAUGCAAGUCGAGCGAACAGACGAGGAGCUUGCUCCUCUGACGUUAGCGGCGGACGGGUGAGUAACACGUGGAUAACCUACCUAUAAGACUGGGAUAACUUCGGGAAACCGGAGCUAAUACCGGAUAACAUGUUGAACCGCAUGGUUCAACAGUGAAAGACGGUCUUGCUGUCACUUAUAGAUGGAUCCGCGCCGCAUUAGCUAGUUGGUAAGGUAACGGCUUACCAAGGCAACGAUGCGUAGCCGACCUGAGAGGGUGAUCGGCCACACUGGAACUGAGACACGGUCCAGACUCCUACGGGAGGCAGCAGUAGGGAAUCUUCCGCAAUGGGCGAAAGCCUGACGGAGCAACGCCGCGUGAGUGAAGAAGGUCUUCGGAUCGUAAAACUCUGUUAUUAGGGAAGAACAAAUGUGUAAGUAACUAUGCACGUCUUGACGGUACCUAAUCAGAAAGCCACGGCUAACUACGUG
RNAcentral lists this ribosomal RNA (497 nucleotides) under uncultured bacterium. RNAcentral describes it as "partial 16S ribosomal RNA". It matches the Rfam family "Bacterial small subunit ribosomal RNA", at positions 28 to 507 of the family's 1533-position model. The record is from RNAcentral.